This 386-nucleotide ribosomal RNA is filed under the name uncultured bacterium. RNAcentral describes it as "bacterial SSU rRNA". It matches the Rfam family "Bacterial small subunit ribosomal RNA", at positions 30 to 418 of the family's 1533-position model. The record is from RNAcentral.
AUUGAACGUUGGCGGCAUGCCUUACACAUGCAAGUCGAACGGCAGCGGACCUUCGGGUGCCGGCGAGUGGCGAACGGGUGAGUAAUAUAUCGGAACGUACCUUUCAGUGGGGGAUAACGUAGCGAAAGUUACGCUAAUACCGCAUAUUCUGUGAGCAGGAAAGCAGGGGAUCGCAAGACCUUGCGCUGAUUGAGCGGCCGAUAUCAGAUUAGCUAGUUGGUGAGGUAAAGGCUCACCAAGGCGACGGUCUGUAGCGGGUCUGAGAGGAUGAUCCGCCACACUGGAACUGAGACACGGUCCAGACUCCUACGGGAGGCAGCAGUGGGGAAUUUUGGACAAUGGGCGCAAGCCUGAUCCAGCCAUGCCGCGUGAGUGAAGAAGGCCUU